GGAAGUAAAAGUCGUAACAGGGUUUCCGUAGGUGAACCUGCGGAAGGAUCAUUAUUGUAUAACCGAGGUGCGUGGGCUGUCGCUGACCCGAAAGGUCGUGCACGCCCGAGUGCCCUCACACACAUCCAUCUCACCCCUAUGUGCACCACCGCGUGGGUCCCCCUUUGGCUUGUUCGGAGGGGGGCUUACGUUUUCACACAAACUUUGUAUGCAGUGUAGAAUGUAUUUUUUGUUUUUGCGAUCACGCAAUCAAUACAACUUUCAACAACGGAUCUCUUGGCUCUC
This 285-nucleotide unclassified non-coding RNA is filed under the name plant metagenome. Its description in RNAcentral is "partial contains small subunit ribosomal RNA, internal transcribed spacer 1, and 5.8S ribosomal RNA". The stretch from base 1 to 54 matches the Rfam family "Eukaryotic small subunit ribosomal RNA", at positions 1778 to 1831 of the family's 1831-position model. The record is from RNAcentral.